AUGAUAUGCAACAGCCUGAGUGUCACUCUCCUGAUUACACGUAAGUUCUUUCUGACGCUAAUUGAGCACGGGAAACCUGGAGGCACAUCCCUGGCCCUGGGAGUGGGAGUGCUGAGGGCAUGGGUAGGGAACCUUGAGUGGCUGCAGGAUGCAGCUUGUCCUCAGGACCUCCGCCUCACUCAGCGAUGGUGCCAGGGCUCUCAGGACCUCCGCCUCACUCAGCGAUGGUGCCAGGGCUCUCAGGACCUCCGCCUCACUCAGCGAUGGUACCAGGGCUCUCAGGACCUCCGCCUCACUCAGCGAUGGUACUCAGCGAUGGUACCAGGGCUCUCAGGACCUCCGCCUCACUCAGCGAUGGUACCAGGGCUCUCAGGACCUCCGCCUCACUCAGCGAUGGUACCAGGGCUCUCAGGACCUCCGCCUCACCCAGCGAUGGUACAGGGCUCUCACGACCUCUGCCUCACUCAGCGAUGGUGCCAGGGCUCUCAGGACCUCCGCCUCACCCAGCGAUGGUGCCAGGGCUCUCAGGACCUCCGCCUCACUCAGCGAUGGUACCAGGGCUCUCAGGACCUCCGCCUCACUCAGCGAUGGUACUCAGCGAUGGUACCAGGGCUCUCAGGACCUCCGCCUCACUCAGCGAUGGUACCAGGGCUCUCAGGACCUCCUCCUCACCCAGCGAUGGUGCCAGGGCUCUCAGGACCUCCGCCUCACCCAGCGAUGGUACCAGGGCUCUCACGACCUCUGCCUCACCCAGCGAUGGUACCAGGGCUCUCACGACCUCUGCCUCACUCAGCGAUGGUACCAGGGCUCUCACGACCUCUGCCUCACUCAGCGAUGGUACCAGGGCUCUCAGGACCUCUGCCUCACUCAGCGAUGGUACCAGGGCUCUCACAACCUCCGCCUCACUCAGCGAUGGUACAGGGCUCUCACGACCUCUGCCUCACUCAGCAAUGGUACCAAGGCUCUCAGGACCUCCGCCUCACUCAGCGAUGGUACAGGGCUCUCAGGACCUCCCACGGAGGGAACAGUUCCGAGUGCAGAUCCACCAGAAAUGAAGCUGAGAUUGCAGACAUCUGCACUCCCAGCAUUGUUCACCAUGUCCGUGAUGGAUAUGUGGGUGAAGAAAAUGUGGCAUAUGGAACACCGUUCAAUCUUACUGAACACACUGCAAGAAGCCAGCAGGUCAGGUAG
Molecule: long non-coding RNA, 1191 nt
Filed under: Oryctolagus cuniculus (rabbit)
Lineage: Eukaryota; Metazoa; Chordata; Mammalia; Lagomorpha; Leporidae
Description: lncRNA (ENSOCUG00000038179.1)
Source: RNAcentral